Molecule: long non-coding RNA, 832 nt
Filed under: Marmota monax (woodchuck)
Lineage: Eukaryota; Metazoa; Chordata; Mammalia; Rodentia; Sciuridae
Source: RNAcentral
UAGGCAUGUGCCACUAUACCCAGAGGAUGUUUGAGAAAAGAAUUUUUUCAAGCAGUGAGUGACACUGUAAAAGCUCUACAGUUGAACAUAACUGGCUAGUUACAGGAAGGGGACCAGUAUGACUGGGAAACAAAGCAGGUAGAUUGUGGGGGCACUAGUCAUUCAUAAAGACUGACUUUUACUCUGAGUGAGACAGGAAGCCAUUAAAGGGUUCUAAUUAGAGGAGAGAGAAUUGCAUUUUAAACUCAUCAUUCUUGUUGGCUUUCUUUCUUUUUUUUUUUUCCUAUUUUUUCUUUUGGUACUGGGGAUUGAAUUCAGGGGCAUUCAACCACUGAGCUACAUCCCCAGCCCUAGUUUGUAUUUUAUUUAGAGACAGGGUCUCACUGAAUUGCUUAGAGCCUCACCUUUGCUGAGGUUGGCUUUGAACUUGAUACCCUCCUGUCUCAGCCUCCUGAACCACUGGGUUUACACAGGCCAGGUGAUUGUUUUGUUAAGGAACUAUUAUAAUAAAACCCAGGUUAUAGAUAGCGUGGGCCAAGACAUUCAUGGUAGAUUGGUGAGGAAUGGUUGGGGUCUGGAUAUAUUUUGAAUGUUGAGCUGAUGGAAUUAAAUGUUGAGUAGAAAUGAGGAUGGAGUGAAAAAAGUUUAGUUAAAUUAUAAACAUUUGGGCCAAGCAUGGUGGCACAGGACUUCCAGUGACUUGGGAGGUUGACAUUGGAGGGAGUAUAAAUUCAAGGUCAUCCUUGGCAACUUAUCAAAUCUUGUCUCAAAAAUGAAAAACCCACUCCUGAAUUUAGUCCCUAGUUUCAAAAGGAAAAAAAGUAAAUAUGCC